GAUGAACGCUGGCGGCGUGCCUAAUACAUGCAAGUCGAGCGAACAGACGAGGAGCUUGCUCCUUUGACGUUAGCGGCGGACGGGUGAGUAACACGUGGGUAACCUACCUAUAAGACUGGGAUAACUUCGGGAAACCGGAGCUAAUACCGGAUAAUAUUUCGAACCGCAUGGUUCGAUAGUGAAAGAUGGCUUUGCUAUCACUUAUAGAUGGACCUGCGCCGUAUUAGCUAGUUGGUAAGGUAACGGCUUACCAAGGCAACGAUACGUAGCCGACCUGAGAGGGUGAUCGGCCACACUGGAACUGAGACACGGUCCAGACUCCUACGGGAGGCAGCAGUAGGGAAUCUGCCGCAGUGGGCGAAAGCCUGACGGAGCAACGCCGCGUGAGUGAUGAAGGUCUUCGGAUCGUAAAACUCUGUUAUUAGGGAAGAACAAACGUGUAAGUAACUGUGCACGUCUUGACGGUACCUAAUCAGAAAGCCACGGCUAACUACGUG
RNAcentral lists this ribosomal RNA (497 nucleotides) under uncultured bacterium. RNAcentral's name for it is "partial 16S ribosomal RNA". It matches the Rfam family "Bacterial small subunit ribosomal RNA", at positions 28 to 507 of the family's 1533-position model. The record is from RNAcentral.